Molecule: long non-coding RNA, 910 nt
Organism: Trichomycterus rosablanca
Lineage: Eukaryota; Metazoa; Chordata; Actinopteri; Siluriformes; Trichomycteridae
Exons: 4
Source: RefSeq, a predicted model, not a curated record
UGGAAGACACGACUGAACUAAACGGCAGGAAGUGUAAUAUAUUCUUUUUAGGGGGGUGAAGACCCCAUAGACUGAUGGCAAGAAGUUCUUGCAAGGGAGAAGUUGUCAUCAUGUCUCUUACCAGCAGUCAAACACUGACUGUUCCUAAGCAUCUUAUUCAGCACCAACAGGACUGAUCACUCACAGGCAUGCCUGAAGCACUUCUGCAUUCUGUUGUGAUGAGGGAUAGGACUGCUGAGUGUUAGGGAACCUAAAUAAAGCUGUCUGAACGCAGUCAAUUUGUCUUCCGCUGCUAAGGGAAACCCAGUUGCACUGCCCACGCCUCUUCUGACCUGUGCACAGCACUACUCUUCUCGCCCCUGCAUUCUCCACAGCCAUCUCUUCUGCCAAUCAGGGUCCUUACACAGCAUAUGAAGAUCCCACCCACACAUAGUCCGGUCAUCCCGCCCUAGCAGAUACAGUGGCCAAUUAGUAUCUGCUGCAGGCACUGCCAGAUGGCGCCCAGCCGACCGGUGGCAAACGCAUCAGAAUCAGAAUAGAGGGUUUCAGAAUCUCGGCGCUGGUGUGUUAGCGAAAUAUCCUGCUGUGCCACCUGGGCGCUUCAAAUAUCUUUUAUUGCCCCCAAAAAUACAAAUGAUAGCAGGUCAGAGGUGUCCAUAUACUUUUGGCCUUACAAAGAGUCUUAGCAGAGAGUCUGCACAAAUACCAUUUUCCCCUAUUUCAUUUCACUUCAGUAACCGCUUCUUCUGAUCAAGGUUGUGGUGUGCCCAGUGUCAAGAGGCUAAACCUCUAAAACGUCUAAAAAUGUAAGUACUCAGAGGUACCCAAUGCCUGACAGAUAGUGACUGCAGAUGAGAACUGAACAAGGGUCCCAGGCUCCAUGCUGCACUGUUAUGCUACUCCGAAUUUA